Molecule: ribosomal RNA, 710 nt
Filed under: Tuber malenconii
Lineage: Eukaryota; Fungi; Ascomycota; Pezizomycetes; Pezizales; Tuberaceae
Description: eukaryotic LSU rRNA
Rfam family: 5.8S ribosomal RNA (bases 274-427)
Source: RNAcentral
GGUUCCGUAGGUGAACCUGCGGAGGAUCAUUAAUAAUGCAAGGGGGCUGCCGCCCAAGGUGGUCCUCAGAGCACCAAACCAGUACUGAGUACAAUGCCAUGUUGCUUCCCCAGGCCAGCGGCCAUGGUUGCCCGUCAGCGAGCCACAGUUGUGGAUUCAUUGGAUGGAGGUGCUUGGGGGUGGGGCUUCUGAUACCCCUUUAACCUAUGUGACAAGAGGAUGAAGCUGUCUGAUAGGCGCCACAUGGGCUGUCAAAAAAUUGGAAAAAGUUAAAACUUUCAACAACGGAUCUCUUGGCUCUCGCAUCGAUGAAGAACGCAGCGAAAUGCGAUAGGUAAUGUGAAUUGCAGAACUCAGUGAAUCAUCGAAUCUUUGAACGCACAUUGCGCCCUGGGGCAUUCCUCAGGGCAUGCCUGUCCGAGCGUCAUUAAAAACUCCUUCACGGAAUAUGUGGUGCUGGCGGAGGUGACUGGAUCGUGUGGUGUAGACGGGUACGGCUCCAGUCACCCUGCCGAAAUGCAUGGGGAGGAACACGUGUAAUGGUGGACCCGACUUGGUAGACGUUGUGAUGAGCGUAAAGCAGUCGUGGACCUGUCACGUCCCCUCCAGCCCGGAGCCAGGAGUGGCCCCCUUGGGUGUCUUGUCAGGUUUGACCUCGGAUCAGGUAGGGAUACCCGCUGAACUUAAGCAUAUCAAUAAGCGGAGAAAGA